UACAGAGGGUGCAAGCGUUAAUCGGAAUUACUGGGCGUAAAGCGCGCGUAGGUGGUUUGUUAAGUUGGAUGUGAAAGCCCCGGGCUCAACCUGGGAACUGCAUCCAAAACUGGCAAGCUCGAGUACAGCAGAGGAUAGUGGAAUUUCCGGUGUAGCGGUGAAAUGCGUAGAGAUCGGAAGGAACACCAGUGGCGAAGGCGACCACCUGGACUGAUACUGACACUGAGGUGCGAAAGCGUGGGUAGCAAACAGG
RNAcentral lists this unclassified non-coding RNA (253 nucleotides) under uncultured Pseudomonadaceae bacterium. RNAcentral describes it as "contains 16S-23S intergenic spacer region". It matches the Rfam family "Bacterial small subunit ribosomal RNA", at positions 524 to 776 of the family's 1533-position model. Lineage: Bacteria; Pseudomonadati; Pseudomonadota; Gammaproteobacteria; Pseudomonadales; Pseudomonadaceae. The record is from RNAcentral.